AUUAGCUAGUUGGUGAGGUAAUGGCUCACCAAGGCGACGAUCCGUAACUGGUCUGAGAGGAUGAUCAGUCACACUGGAACUGAGACACGGUCCAGACUCCUACGGGAGGCAGCAGUGGGGAAUAUUGGACAAUGGGCGAAAGCCUGAUCCAGCCAUGCCGCGUGUGUGAAGAAGGUCUUCGGAUUGUAAAGCACUUUAAGUUGGGAGGAAGGGCAGUAAAUUAAUACUUUGCUGUUUUGACGUUACCGACAGAAUAAGCACCGGCUAACUCUGUGCCAGCAGCCGCGGUAAUACAGAGGGUGCAAGCGUUAAUCGGAAUUACUGGGCGUAAAGCGCGCGUAGGUGGUUUGUUAAGUUGGAUGUGAAAUCCCCGGGCUCAACCUGGGAACUGCAUUCAAAACUGACUGACUAGAGCAUGGUAGAGGGUGGUGGAAUUUCCUGUGUAGCGGUGAAAUGC
Molecule: ribosomal RNA, 457 nt
Filed under: Pseudomonas tolaasii
Lineage: Bacteria; Pseudomonadati; Pseudomonadota; Gammaproteobacteria; Pseudomonadales; Pseudomonadaceae
Description: bacterial SSU rRNA
Rfam family: Bacterial small subunit ribosomal RNA
Source: RNAcentral